This 1265-nucleotide long non-coding RNA is filed under the name Mus musculus (house mouse). RNAcentral's name for it is "predicted gene 16555 (Gm16555)". Lineage: Eukaryota; Metazoa; Chordata; Mammalia; Rodentia; Muridae. The record is from RNAcentral.
AAUUGAAAGAGUGAUGAGAAUUGAUACAGACUCGUGGUGUUUUGCUAAGACAAGACUGUAAAAGAAUACAUUGAGUUUGGAAGGAAUAUGAACAGGACUCAACAGACUGUGACAGAGGCUUACAUAACUAGCUUUACAAUGCUUCAUUGCUCUCAUGUCUUUUGUCUUCAAGGAUCGUCACUUUGUUGAGAGAGGCAUGACAGAAAACUUCUCCUGGCAUCCUUGCUGACCCUGGUCUCUCCUGCUGACUUGUGCAGAUUCAGUAGAGGCCUGGCUGUUUCUGCUGGGUCGUGUUCACUAUACUGAUACUACUUAACUGGACUGCUGUUAUAUAUCCUGACAACACAGAGUUCAGAAAUGGGUGCAGUCCAUGCCACAUGCAGGAGCUAAGAUGUCAGACCCCAGAGGAUUUGGCUUCCUGACGAGGAAGCCAUGUGACUCUGAAGCCGUGCGGGAAGAGCCACUAGAAACCUGUGUCCUAGAAAUCAGGAUCUUGAACUUGGCUCCUCUAGUCCCUGACUUUUAUACGGGAAGUCGGUAUAGACCUGCAACUGCGUCUGUGUGAUUGUGGAAAUGUGUGUGGGUGUGUAUCUGAGUGCAUGUGUGUGCCUGAGUGCACUGGUAUGAUGGAGCUGGAGGAGAGAGAGAGAGAGAGAGAGAGAAAGAGAGAGAGAGAGAGAGAGAGGUGUCUGUGAGAGUGGAGAGCUGGAGCCCAGGCGCGAGCAUGAGUCUCUGAAAGAUUAGAUGCAGUGGGCAUGGAUCAGAGCUAAAGGGUACUGGAUGGUGUGGUGUGAAUCUUCCUGUGUCUGACGCUUACAGGUGGUCAUUGACAUAUGCACCUGUGCAUGAUGGGAGGGCAUGGAAGGUGGCAGGAGGAAGGGCCUGGGGUGACUGUUCACAGAGGGGCUCAGGGUUUGUGAAUCAGAGGCUAAGGGGAAAGGCCCCACAAUCCAGGAUCUGGAAGAGCUUAUUUAAUUUUGUCACUCACUGUGUGUUUCUGUGUAUGAAUACCUGCAUUAAGGGAGCAUCCUAAGUAUCCAUCAGCAGAAGAAUGAAUAAAGAAAGUGCAGUUUGAGGCUGGAGAGAUGGCUCAGUGGUGAAAACGACUGACUACUCUUCCAGAGGCCCUGAGUUCAAUUCCCAGCAACCACAUGGUGGCUGACAACAAUCUGUAAUGGGAUCCAAUGCCUUCUUCUGGUGUGUCUGAAGACAGCGACAGUGUACUCAUGUGCCUGAAAUGAAUAAAUAAAUAAAUCUUGAAAAAA